AGAGUUUUGGCCUCAGCCGUUUGACUCUAAUCAGGAAAUCAUUUUUAGAAAGAUUUGUCAGUGUAAGAAAACAAGCUCCUGAACUAAAUUAGGAUCUGGAUUAUUUUUCCCUCCUCUCUCGAUCUGCAGUGCAAGGCAGAGUGGUGAGCCAUCACGGUUUUGUGUGUGGUGAAUUUGUUUCCACUGCACAUUUUAAUUCGGAGCUCCUGAAGGUGUCUGUGUUUGUAAGGACUGUGUUUUUGGAGCUGCUCCCUCGGAGUAAUGAAUUCACGGCAUGUCUCUGGGAAAUUAAGGUUUCUUUUCUGGGAGCUGCUAUCACUGAAUACAUAAAGAAAUUGAGCCUAUAUGAUUUCAAUCUUCACCUUCUGAUGCUGAUGAAACAGGAUUCUAUGCAGUUUUCCACAGGGAGAAGCAGCAGGCUGAAGUGGCUCUUUAGGGAGACACAUACCUCCACAGGAAGAGCAGUCUAGAUUGUUUUAGCACAUUCCACUUAAGGAUUGCAGUGUGACAGCAGAGAAAAUCCUCUCCAGUCAAGUAAUUGCAUCCAUUUCAUCUUCCCAGCCCUCCUCUAGAUGGGAGGUGGAGGUGUGUGUACCAAUCUCUUAAUUCAGAAAUGAGACAAGAGGAGGAAAAAGGAGUUCCGGAACUUUGAGUAAAGCUGAUCACCUUACGUAAUGUGAGUGGGUCUCGUCCAAUCAACUGAAGGCUUUAAGAGCAAAGACAAAGGUUUUUCAAAGAGAAAAAGAAGACUCUCCUCAAGACUGUGACAUAGAAACUCUGCCUGAAUUUCUAGCCUGCUGCCCUGCAGAAUUUAGAGUCAAGCCUACAACAUAACUCUUACCUGAAUUCUCAGGCUGCUGACUUACCCUGCAGAUUUUGGACUUGCCAGCCCCUCACAAUCCCAUGAGCCAAUUCCUUAAAAUAAAUCUCUCUUUUUCCCUCUGUAUAUAUUUAUGUCCUAUUGAUUUUGGUUCUCUGGAGAGCCCUGACUACUACACUGAGUGAAGGGAGGGCUUUGCUAAGUGAUCAUGGUCCCAAGGGCAGCCUCUGAGAGCCCGCUCCUUUUGCAGGAUAUUUGAAGACCAGACCUUGAGUCAAAUUCUGCAGCCAAAUUCAAUGCCCAUAAGACUUUCUGCUCAGAAGACGUCAUGCAAAGGGAAUCCCCAGGGCUCUUUAAAUUAGAUCUUCUGUUUGUGCAGACACGUGAUAAAUGUUUUGGGUACAGCCUGGCUCACACCACAUUUUCCACUUUUUGGGUGGAGUCAGUUUUAAUUGACAAGAAGUGCCUUUACAGGUGGACUUUUUUUUUGGUGGUGGAGGGGAGUAGUUAAAACCGAUGCUUUGCAUUCUGUUGGGCAGCAGAAAGAUUGCUUUUUCAAUAAGCAAGCCUUGGGUUUUUCUGAGCCAGUGGUAUGAGAAAUGCCUCUCCUGAAGGCCACCACGCAAGCGAGUCCCCACAGAAGCAUGCCCGAGCUGUCAGGUGCAGGGAGAAAUAUCUUUAGUAAGAGCCGGUCAUGUAAUGAGACUUCCCCACCACAGCAUAGAUGGGCAGAGGGGUUUCCACAAGGACAAUUCUUAAGAAUCUCUGUAAAAACGCAUGACUCCAUCUGUCUCCUCUCUCUUCUUUGGCUUCAGAUGAGCUGAGCCAUUUAAAAAUUCCCCAACAAGGGACCCCAGGCACCAGAAGAAGUGAUGAACAGAUUUUCAAUUUGGCCCUGAUUUGCAUAAAUUUUUUUUUUCUGGCAG
This 1746-nucleotide long non-coding RNA is filed under the name Homo sapiens (human). Its description in RNAcentral is "HSALNT0028727". Lineage: Eukaryota; Metazoa; Chordata; Mammalia; Primates; Hominidae. The record is from RNAcentral.